UGAGAGAAUUGAGCAACCUUACAGGCACUCCAGGUUUCAUUGAAAACAGAUCCUGCAAAAGUUCCAGGUGCCCACACUGGAAACUUGGAGAUCCUGCUUCCCAGACCACAGCUGUGGGGAACUUGGGGUGGAGCAGAGAAGUUUCUGUAUUCAGCUGCCCAGGCAGAGGAGAAUGGGGUCUCCACAGCCUGAAGAAUGAAGACACGACAGAAUAAAGACUCGAUGUCAAUGAGGAGUGGACGGAAGAAAGAGGCCCCUGGGCCCCGGGAAGAACUGAGAUCGAGGGGCCGGGCCUCCCCUGGAGGGGUCAGCACGUCCAGCAGUGAUGGCAAAGCUGAGAAGUCCAGGCAGACAGCCAAGAAGGCCCGAGUAGAGGAAGCCUCCACCCCAAAGGUCAACAAGCAGGGUCGGAGUGAGGAGAUCUCAGAGAGUGAAAGUGAGGAGACCAAUGCACCAAAAAAGACCAAAACUGAGGAACUCCCUCGGCCACAGUCUCCCUCCGAUCUGGAUAGCUUGGACGGGCGGAGCCUUAAUGAU
RNAcentral lists this long non-coding RNA (537 nucleotides) under Pan troglodytes (chimpanzee). RNAcentral describes it as "long non-coding RNA NONPTRT003324". Lineage: Eukaryota; Metazoa; Chordata; Mammalia; Primates; Hominidae. The record is from RNAcentral.